Long non-coding RNA from Adelges cooleyi (spruce gall adelgid), 871 nucleotides. RefSeq lists it as uncharacterized. The record is from RefSeq and is a predicted model, not a curated record. The transcript is spliced from 2 exons. Lineage: Eukaryota; Metazoa; Arthropoda; Insecta; Hemiptera; Adelgidae.
CAGGAGAGCGCGGUACCAGCAACAUCGAACCACAGCCCUGAAGAUGGAACGUGCAAGUGUUCCGAAACGUUGGCGAACUAGUCAAGACAUCCAAGUGGGAGUAACCUCAAGUCAUGUUUUUUGUGUGUAAUAAGAACUGGCUAACCUUGGCUGGAGCCACUGGAGUGCACGGCGAAAUCGACCGGCCUAUCCUUGGGCAGUUCCAGUCGCGUUGGACGAAUGCACCGACGGUGGUUUUUCUUAUCCGAGCUGAUGCCGCCGUUUUCCACGACCAUCGGCCUCUGACUCCGUCGUUCUUUGCACACAAUUGUAUUUUAUUGUAUAUUUUAUUUUUAAAAGCAUUACACAAUUAUCAUUAUUAUUAAUAUGUAUGGGAGAUACCGCCACGAUAUACAGUGAAAACUCCGCUAAGAAAAUCAAACCCGUCUGUCCCCUUUAAAGAGGGCGGAAAGUUUACUGUAUUUGUUGCCUCUUAUCAGUUAACGGGGGAUUAUUAAUUUUCCUAUGAAUAUCCUUAUUUAAAAACACAGUAGUCACUAUUGGCUCUUGUUGAUAUUUACUUAUUGUGAUUUAUGAUGAUAUUUUAUUUGUUUUGUCAUGUAAACAAGAUGAUUUAAUUGAAGUCAUUUUUUUUUUGAAAACAUUUAUUAGUUGUUUUUAUAUCCAAAGUGAUCGCUCGAAAUGUUCAAAUAUUAUGUUCACAAUUAGAGAAACUAAUGAAAUACACACGUUACAGACAUUAAAUAAAUAUUUAAAAAUUGUAUACAAUCGUAAAAAAAAAUCUGUUGUCUCACAUGUUAGAUGUUAUCGUGGAACAUUUUUAUUGGCUAUAAAAUUAUUUAUAUAUAUUAUAUUGCUGGCUAGUAUUGAA